Molecule: ribosomal RNA, 274 nt
Filed under: uncultured Eubacteriales bacterium
Lineage: Bacteria; Bacillati; Bacillota; Clostridia; Eubacteriales
Description: uncultured Clostridiales bacterium partial 16S ribosomal RNA
Rfam family: Bacterial small subunit ribosomal RNA
Source: RNAcentral
UUUACAUGAAGCCUAGCGAUUGUAAAUUUAGUGGCGGACGGGUGAGUAACGCGUGAGGAACCUGCCUUUCAGAGGGGGACAACAGUUGGAAACGACUGCUAAUACCGCAUGACACAUUAGGGUCGCAUGGCCCUGAUGUCAAAGAUUUAUCGCUGAAAGAUGGCCUCGCGUCUGAUUAGCUAGUUGGCGGGGUAACGGCCCACCAAGUCGACGAUCGGUAGCCGACCUGAGAGGGUGAUCGGCCACAUUGGGACUGAGACACGGCCCAAACUCC